This is a long non-coding RNA of Mustela erminea (ermine), 1061 nucleotides long. RefSeq lists it as uncharacterized. The transcript has 3 exons. Lineage: Eukaryota; Metazoa; Chordata; Mammalia; Carnivora; Mustelidae. The record is from RefSeq and is a predicted model, not a curated record.
UGUAGCCUGACAGCAGGCACCUGGUUUCCUGACCCCAAACCACAUGGCUCCCCAUGUGGCCUCACGAGCAUCUCUGUUACAUGCCCAUUCCUCACACCAGCCUGAGCAGCGGAACGGGCACCAGGGCGAUAGCGGGAGUCCUAGGUGGAGGCUGGUCUGGCAGAAGUAGCUUCUGGAAGAUCUUCAUUAUAACUUUCUAAUGUAUGUCCCAUUCAGUGAGGCUCAUGGAAAGACGUGAAAAUUUGGAGGAAGAUGUAAAACCGAGUGUCUUGAGUAUGUCGGUUGGCGUAAGUACUCUCCGCUGGCGGCCCCACUGGGGAAGCCAAAUGAGAAGUCUGGAGGAAAUGGUUUUAGACAAGAGAGGGAAGACCACCCAUGAGGAUGGAGUCCAUUUCUCACGGUUGAUCCCUAUCUCCUGGCAGCACCACAGGAUCCGCCAUCCCUCUGGAGAGUGAGAGAAUGUUCCAGAACAAUGCAAUGGUGGACCAUAUGUUUCAACAGCUCUGCCACAUGUGAUGGGCCUGCUUCUCCCAGGCAAUACUGAGUGUUAAUAACCCUGACAUGGUUGCUCACUCAUUGAUGAAGGAACUCACUUUGAACAGCAACACAGAGACGCCGGGAGAGUUGACCCUUCUGGAAAAGCAGGAGGGGAAAUCAUCUGUUGGGACUGAAGAGGGAGAGAUGGCAGAAUAUUUGAGGACGAGGAAAACUUGAAGGGACGGUCCCUUGGAUGAAGAGGCAGAGGAGCUGACCCAAAAUGUCUAAGCAGCUGUAUUGCCCAGAGGACAUUGAGGGGGGGCCGGGCAAGAAGCCUAGAUGAACUUCGCAUUGGAAUCACUCGGGUGGGUGUUAACAAUGAGUCAAUAGGUGAGAAAAAGAAACUUCUCGUGCUUGAGUCAUGACUUGGAGCUUUAGAGCGGGGACCGAGAGAAGUAAGUCAAGGAGGAGGGAUGAGAGGGCAGAAAAAAGCCGAAGGGUGAAAAGAUCACAGGUGGUGGCGUGCCUGGUGGCUCAGGUGGUUAGGUGUCUGCCUUGGGCUCAGGUCAUGAUCCCAGGCUCCU